UUAAUUUUGAACGAGUGGCGGACGGGUGAGUAACACGUGGGUAACCUGCCCUUAAGUGGGGGAUAACAUUUGGAAACAGAUGCUAAUACCGCAUAAAUCCAAGAACCGCAUGGUUCUUGGCUGAAAGAUGGCGUAAGCUAUCGCUUUUGGAUGGACCCGCGGCGUAUUAGCUAGUUGGUGAGGUAACGGCUCACCAAGGCAAUGAUACGUAGCCGAACUGAGAGGUUGAUCGGCCACAUUGGGACUGAGACACGGCCCAAACUCCUACGGGAGGCAGCAGUAGGGAAUCUUCCACAAUGGACGCAAGUCUGAUGGAGCAACCGCCGCGUGAGUGGAAGAAGGCUUUCGGGUCGUAAAACUCUGUUGUUGGGAGAAGAAUGGUCCGGCAGAGUAACUGUUGUCGGCCGUGACGGUAU
This 416-nucleotide ribosomal RNA is filed under the name Lacticaseibacillus rhamnosus. RNAcentral's name for it is "bacterial SSU rRNA". It matches the Rfam family "Bacterial small subunit ribosomal RNA", at positions 80 to 478 of the family's 1533-position model. The record is from RNAcentral. Lineage: Bacteria; Bacillati; Bacillota; Bacilli; Lactobacillales; Lactobacillaceae.